CGAACGGGAUGCUUAGGCAUCUAGUGGCGGACGGGUGAGUAACGCGUGAGAAUCUGGCUCCAGGUCGGGGAUAACAGUUGGAAACGACUGCUAAUACCGGAUGUGCCGAAAGGUGAAAGAUUUAUUGCCUGGAGAUGAGCUCGCGUCUGAUUAGCUAGUUGGUGGUGUAAGGGACCACCAAGGCGUCGAUCAGUAGCUGGUCUGAGAGGAUGAUCAGCCACACUGGGACUGAGACACGGCCCAGACUCCUACGGGAGGCAGCAGUGGGGAAUUUUCCGCAAUGGGCGAAAGCCUGACGGAGCAAUACCGCGUGAGGGAGGAAGGCUCUUGGGUCGUAAACCUCUUUUCUCAAGGAAGAAGAAAGUGACGGUACUUGAGGAAUAAGCAUCGGCUAACUCCGUGCCAGCAGCCGCGGUAAUACGGAGGAUGCAAGCGUUAUCCGGAAUGAUUGGGCGUAAAGGGUCUGCAGGUGGAACUGAAAGUCUGCUGUUAAAGAGUUUGGCUUAACCAAAUAAAAGCGGUGGAAACUACAGAACUAGAGUGUGGUAGGGGCAAAAGGAAUUCCUGGUGUAGCGGUGAAAUGCGUAGAUAUCAGGAAGAACACCGGUGGCGAAAGCGUUUUGCUAGACCAUAACUGACACUGAGGGACGAAAGCUAGGGGAGCGAAUGGGAUUAGAUACCCCAGUAGUCCUAGCCGUAAACGAUGGAUACUAGGCGUGGCUUGUAUCGACCCGAGCCGUGCCGGAGCUAACGCGUUAAGUAUCCCGCCUGGGGAGUACGCACGCAAGUGUGAAACUCAAAGGAAUUGACGGGGGCCCGCACAAGCGGUGGAGUAUGUGGUUUAAUUCGAUGCAACGCGAAGAACCUUACCAAGACUUGACAUCCUGCGAAUCCUGGUGAAAGCUGGGAGUGCCUUCGGGAGCGCAGAGACAGGUGGUGCAUGGCUGUCGUCAGCUCGUGUCGUGAGAUGUUGGGUUAAGUCCCGCAACGAGCGCAACCCUCGUUUUUAGUUGCCAGCAUUAAGUUGGGCACUCUAGAGAGACUGCCGGUGACAAACCGGAGGAAGGUGAGGAUGACGUCAAGUCAGCAUGCCCCUUACGUCUUGGGCUACACACGUACUACAAUGCUACGGACAGAGGGCAGCGAGCCAGGGAUGGCAAGCGAAUCCAGAAACCGUAGCUCAGUUCAGAUCGAAGGCUGCAACUCGCCUUCGUGAAGGAGGAAUCGCUAGUAAUUGCAGGUCAGCAUACUGCAGUGAAUUCGUUCCCGGGCCUUGUACACACCGCCCGUCACACCAUGGAAGUUGGUCACGCCCGAAGUCAUUACCCCAACCGAAAGGAGGGGGAUGCCUAAGGUAGGACUGGUGACUGGGGUGAAGUCGUAACAAGGUAGCCGUACCGGAAGGUGUGGCUGGAUCACCUCCUUU
Molecule: ribosomal RNA, 1426 nt
Filed under: uncultured Cylindrospermopsis sp.
Lineage: Bacteria; Bacillati; Cyanobacteriota; Cyanophyceae; Nostocales; Aphanizomenonaceae
Description: bacterial SSU rRNA
Rfam family: Bacterial small subunit ribosomal RNA
Source: RNAcentral